This 629-nucleotide ribosomal RNA is filed under the name human gut metagenome. RNAcentral's name for it is "bacterial LSU rRNA". It matches the Rfam family "Bacterial large subunit ribosomal RNA", at positions 2300 to 2925 of the family's 2925-position model. The record is from RNAcentral.
ACGGAGGCGUUCAAAGGUUCGCUCAGCUUGAACGGAAAUCAAGCAAAAGAGUGCAAACGCAGAAGCGAGCCUAACUGCGAGACUGACGGGUCGAGCAGUAACGAAAGUUGGAGUUAGUGAUCCGGUGGUAUGUGAGUGGAAAUGCCAUCGCUCAACGGAUAAAAGUUACCCUGGGGAUAACAGGCUGAUCUCCCCCAAGAGUCCACAUCGACGGGGAGGUUUGGCACCUCGAUGUCGGCUCAUCGCAUCCUGGGGCUGUAUUCGGUCCCAAGGGUUUGGCUGUUCGCCAAUUAAAGCGGUACGCGAGCUGGGUUCAGAACGUCGUGAGACAGUUCGGUCCCUAUCUGUCGUGGGCGCAGGAUAUUUGAUGGGAGCUGUCCCUAGUACGAGAGGACCGGGACGGACGUACCUCUGGCGCACCAGUUGUUCCGCCAGGAGCAUAGCUGGGCAACUACGUACGGAUCGGAUAAACGCUGAAAGCAUCUAAGCGUGAAGCCGACCCAAAGAUAAGAUAUCCCACUGAUUUGAUCAGGUAAGAUCCCUUGAAGACUACAAGGUUGAUAGGCACGAUGUGUAAGUGGAGUGAUCCAUUCAGCAAGUGUGUACUAAUAGAUCGAGGGCUUGACCAC